Magnolia sinica is the source of this 1175-nucleotide long non-coding RNA. RefSeq lists it as uncharacterized. The transcript has 3 exons. Lineage: Eukaryota; Viridiplantae; Streptophyta; Magnoliopsida; Magnoliales; Magnoliaceae. The record is from RefSeq and is a predicted model, not a curated record.
AUGGACGGAGCAUAUAAUCACAUGAAUCAAACAAUAUUCCUAGCUGGUCCCGAACAGAUCUGAUAUCAAAGUUGUUAAACAUAGUCUAAUAAGCAAUCAUGAAUGCAUUACUUAAAAAAUAAAAUAAAAUAAAAUAAAAUCAGUAGGUGAAACAGUAUCACUAUCUUAGACAUUUUAUGGCUCAACAAAAUCACACAAAUCCUUAAUUUGUUAAAAGAAGUGCAUUUACUUACAAAAUCAGAUAGUAGAAUUGUUUCAACGAUCUGAUUUUAGAAUUCUUAGUUACUUAAUUGGGCUACUCUGAAUUCAAUCAAGGUUGCCCAGGUAUGUAUUUACUGAUUGUUGGUUUUUCUUUUUUGCUGCUUAUUAUUUUGGAUAAUUCAUUAUUCAGAUAGGUUGAGUUUUUAUUUAAGGUGUUCUUGUAAGUGAUUUAACCCAUGAAAUGAAGUAGGUUGAUGGGAAUGCAUUAUGCCACAUGAAUGGAUGCAGCGCAGCAAUUCAGAAACUGUGACUUUUGAGCUAUAGGCAUGCUUCAUGGUGGGACACUAGAUGAAUGGAUGGAAGAUCCUGCUAAAAUCAAUCAUGCAGUGGGCCCCAUGGUGGAUGAUUCUGUCCGGUAAGACAGAUUCAAUGUGGAAUGUUGAUUAUAAAGUUUUCUAUUUUCAGGCCAGUGACAAAAGGAAGGUAAUAUAGUCUUGGCACGUCAGUUGUGGACAGAGCAUAUAAUCACAUGAAUUAAACAAUCCUAACUUUCUAAUUACGGCUACUUAGCAACCGACUAGAAGUAAGAUAACAUAAAUGUGUUGCCUUCAGUUUCAUAUGUUUAUCUCAUAAACUGGAAAAAUUAGAAGAGAGAUUCUUCUACGUGUAAUGAACUUGAGGAAAUGCACCAGCCAGUAGACAGACCAGAUUUGGAGCAGUUUGGAACACAGCAAAGGUAGAACCAGGAUCUAUUAUUGCUGUUUUCGGCCUUGGGACUGUUGGCCUUGCAGUAAGUUGCCUGAAGAUUUCUUUUAUAUUUUGUCCCUGACCUGAGAAGUAACACUGCCUGAUUUUUGCACAAGAACAUCCAAUCAAUCUGGUUCAUCUAAUGAAAUUAUGAAAAGUUGGGAUCUCAGACACAUCUUCCAUAUUGGCAUGUGUGGCUACAUGUGGAUGGGCACAGCUCCACACAC